GGCCCGAGUAGGGGAGGGUCACUGCGUCUUCUGGCCACGCUGCACCUCCUGUUGGAGCGGCCUGCCUGGCGCCCACAAAGCAACCUCAUGGGUGGCAGGAGGACCCUGAGGCAGGAGGCAAGCUGUCCAGGUCCACUCCUACGUGUGACAGCCAUUGGCCAAACCACGUCCCCUCUGGCCUGUGGGUGCCUCUCACCUGCCUCGUGUUGAGCCCCCUGGGGAUCUAGGAGGCCUUUCUUGCCUCGAGGUACCCGCCUGCGAUCCUGUCCCUAGGUGAGAACAACAAAUUAACCUAAAUUUGAGCAUCAACUUGCUUUUCCCCCAGGGGCUCCAUUUUCCACAGCGAUUUCCAGAAUAGCGCUCAGACCAACGGCCCAUGAGAUGAGCUAGCUGGGCUUGGGAGCUGUGUGGUCCAGGACGCAGGAGAGGGCAGGAGGAGGCCGAUGGUUGAUGCCCUGGUGUUGGAGGUUGGCAGUGCUCUGGUUCCAGGCCUGCCCAGGCUGGCUCUGGGUCUUGGCUCAGCUGCUCCCAGCCCCCCACCCCCAGGUGUCCCUGAUGGUUCCCAGGGGCCGCCCACGGCAUCCAGUCUCUGCCAGCAUCAGCCCCAGGUCACGUGCAGUGGCUGUCGUGCACGUGGAAGAUGGGGAUUUAAUAUCGUGUAGAAACCGUCAUCAGGGCAGACACGAGCUGCUGUGAGCAGGGCUGAGCUGUGUGACAAGGGUCGGACCCAAAGGCCCGCUCUGCCUGGAGGUCGGUGCAGGCAACCUCAUCCAGGCUCCUCCCUGCUCUGUGACAGUAACGCAGUCACCGUGUCCCCAGCUUCCUGCGCAGUGUUUAUCCCUCCCAGGGCUACGGUUUGAGUGCAUCCUCCGGUGUUCAUGUGCUGGGACGAGGCCGUUAGGUCACACGGGCUCUGUCCUCCUGAGUGGAUUAAUGGCGUUUUUGUCAUUGCCAGAUGGGUUUGUUAUGAACACGAUUUGCCCUCUCCCAUGCCUUUCCCAUCCGUGCUUUCUUGCUCUUUCCCCUUCUAGCAGGGGAUGCUGCUACCCCAGGUUCCCUCACCCCGGGACUUCCCAGCUUCCAGAGCUGUCAGAAGUAAAGCGCUACUCUUUAUAAAUUACCCGG
This is a long non-coding RNA of Heterocephalus glaber (naked mole-rat), 1125 nucleotides long. Lineage: Eukaryota; Metazoa; Chordata; Mammalia; Rodentia; Bathyergidae. The record is from Ensembl.